This 493-nucleotide non-coding RNA is filed under the name Pan troglodytes (chimpanzee). The record is from RNAcentral. Lineage: Eukaryota; Metazoa; Chordata; Mammalia; Primates; Hominidae.
GACCCAGCAGGAAGGCGCCAUCAUGAGAAAGGGGGCUCUCACAGGACACCAACUCUUGAUCUUGGACUUCUCAUCCUCCAGAACUGUGAGAAAUAAGUUUCCAUUAUUUAUAAGCCACCCAGUUUAUGGUGUUUAUAAAGAGCUGAGACAAACACCACUAAAUCUUGCCCUUAUAAUCCUGUUGAUAAUUACGCAAGAGUAAAUUUUGUUCUGGUCUCAACCAAAUGAUUAAAACUCUGAAUCAGUGGAAUCUGAACUCUGAGCCCUGCUUACAUCCUGCUGGCUGGGAUGGGGAAUGAGGCUGGGGUGAGCAGACACUUAGAAUAUGAGGACAAGAGAGGAGCAGCUGCUCUACCAGCCCUGCACUGCCCACCCAGAAUGCCACCAGGGAGAGAACUCAGCUUCUCUGUUGCUGAAGCCACAGACAUCUUGGGUCUCUGUUCUGUACAGCUGAACUGCAUCCUGAUUGAUUUGGGAAUGAUGCCUAUUACCA